Molecule: long non-coding RNA, 1661 nt
Organism: Papaver somniferum (opium poppy)
Lineage: Eukaryota; Viridiplantae; Streptophyta; Magnoliopsida; Ranunculales; Papaveraceae
Exons: 8
Source: RefSeq, a predicted model, not a curated record
CUGAUGGUUUGAGCUGGUAAAGGUUUGGGGUUUGUUUUGUCCACUGAAGAUACAGGGAAGUUAUUGAACUGGUGGGAGAUUAAAGAGUGUUUGAAGUGUCUGUGAUGAAUAAGAAAUCGGGUUUGUGUUGGGUUCGAGUUUACAUCCAGUGAAACGCAAGAUUUAAUGCCCAAAAACCAGUCAAGGGAAGGAGAUUGAUGGUUUUAGAAACCAGUAUAUGGUAAUCUCUCCAAUAUCAGAUUCGUGCACACAGGAUGUUCGACAAAAAGUCUGAACCACUAUCAAGCUGAGUUUCAACAGGCUAGCCAUGGAGAGGGAACCCACCAGUUUUUAUACACACGAUGUGUAGAAAAGCUGAACUACUGCCAGUUAUCCUUUCAAACAAUAUAAUAGGUAGAUAUCCAUUUUAAGUUAUCUCAGUGGAAGUUAUUAUUUCGUGAACCUUUUUAGUGACCGUUUCUUAAUGUUGAAAACUGAUGUUUAUGUGGUAUUGUGGAAUCCUUUGUUGGAGGAGGAGUAAUUGUUUGAAGAGGACAAUUCAAAAUUGGAGGAGGAGUAAUUGUUUGAAGGGGACACCAAGAAUUGGUAAACCCCAAGAGCGCACAUUGACUUGAGAGAAACAAUUUAAGGAUAUCUGGGUUUGUGAUUUCACUUUAAAUUUUCAUAUGAAUGGAGAAAACUUGGAGAUUCAAUGGUUUUGGGUUACAAUUACGUUUCUUAUUACUUCUUUUAUGCCUCUUCAACCAGAAUUUUGAGCUUUGUCAUUCUCUCAAUGAUGAAGGAUUGGCACUGUUGAGAUUUAAAGAUGGAAUUGUUAGUGAUCCCUAUGGUGCUUUAUUGGAUUGGAGACAAAAUGAGGAUGAGGAAAAUCAAAACCCAUGUUCUUGGUUUGGUGUUCGAUGUUCUCAUCAUGAUCGACAGAAGAUUCCAGUCAAUUUCCAAAAAACAUCAAUAAUUAUUAAAAGUUUGACACUAUGAUUGAAUGCAAGUGCUUUAGUGACAACCUGAUAAGACACUAUAGUUCUUUGUCGAGGAACUUAAGAGGUCUUUGUCUCGGAGGAACCCUUGCUCCAGAAGUUGGGAGCCUCAUUCACAUUAAAUCAAUUAUUUUGGCGGAAUAAUUCUUUUACGGGUACAAUCCCUGAAGAGAUCGAGGAACUGAAGGAGUUGGAGGUGUUAGACUUGGGAUACAAUAAUUUUGCAGGACCUGUUCCUUCUGACCUAGGAAGUAACCUUUCCUUGGCAACCCUUGCAGCUUACUUGACCACAACAGAUUCCUAGGUAGCAUUUCCACGUAUCUCCGUGAGCUGUAAUUGAUUUCUGAACUUCAGCUAGAUAAGAAUCAGCUAUCUGAUGCUACCCAGGGUUCAUCAUGCAAUAGAGGACCUCUUUCAUGGCCAAAUGAGGAAGUUGGAUAUGUAUCUUCAAGAAGGCAGCUCCCACAAAGGAAGUUUGAUAUGAAGUGGUUACAGAAUCUUGCCGUUUCCAAAUCAUAUCGCAGAUGAGCAUUUUUUUAAUUUGGUUUGUGGUCAUAUCUCGAUAUCACCACAUUUGUUGCUUGCUUGGUGGUCAAAAACUCAUGUUAUCUGAUUCUUUGAUUUCCCUUGAUAUCUUAAGUAGUUAAGUUGUACUUAAAUUAUUCUUUCCUCCAAUAUGCUGUA